This 645-nucleotide long non-coding RNA is filed under the name Mytilus galloprovincialis (Mediterranean mussel). Lineage: Eukaryota; Metazoa; Mollusca; Bivalvia; Mytilida; Mytilidae. The record is from RNAcentral.
UGUAAUUUUAAGCUCAACUGGCCCACAGGGCCAAGUGAACUUUUCUCGUCAUUUUGCGUCCGUCGUCUGUAGUCCAUCGUUUUUCGUCCGUCGUCCGUCGUCCGUCGUCGUCGUCCGUUUACUUUCACAAAAAUCUUCUCCUCUGAAACUACUGGGCCAAAUUUAACCAUACUUGGCCACAAUCAUUAUUGGGACAUCUAGUUUAAAAAAUGUGUCCGAUGACCCCGCCCACCAACCAAGAUGGCCUACAUGGCUAAAAAUGAUACAUAGUGGUAAAAUGCAGUUUUUGGCUUAUAUCUCUGAAUCCAAAGCAUUUAGAGCAAGUCUGACUCGGAGUAAAAUUGUUCAUCAGGUCAACAUCUAUCUGCUCUCUGGGUUGCUGAGCCUGAAUUGGUAAUCAGUCAGUCUGUAUUAUUUGUUUCAAAAUUUUAGCAACGAAGGUAAUGUUGCAGCAUUUGAGACAUGUAUCUGUUUUAUUCUGAACUCUUAUCAGUUGGCUCCAUUUUCAGUUUAAAACAAGUAUCAUUCAAAUUUCCAAUGACUUAGUUGUUGCAUUACAGGAGAUAUGGACAGCAAAUGAAGAAAAAAGACAAAACUCAUUUAUUGAAAACAAAAUGUGUCAAUAUAAAUAUUGAGUCUCUAGAC